AUGGAUAAGCAAAAGAAUCACAAGAAUGCAGAAAUGGGGAACGAUGUGUUCCGCAGAAUAAUUCUUAAUCAGGUUGGCAGGGACAUCGGUUUGGAGGAGGAGAACGUGCCUUGCAAUACUCCGAGGAACUCCGUUCAUUCGCCAUUUGGUGGCUCGUCUGCCAAAUUUGGUGCUUCCACCAGUGGAAGUGCCGGUGCUGAGUCGGUUAGCCCAGGUGAGUAUGUCAGAGAUCCGGGAUCCAUAUUGAGUUUGCAGCCUUGGAUUUUCAAGAGAAGCAGCACAAAGAACAAUGAGGAAAUGGUGGUUCCAAGUGGUAGCAGGGCAGUUGGUAGAGGCAAGAAUCUGGUGGAUGGCUUUCGAGAUGGUUCGACUACUGAGGUUUCCACAAGAAGCCCUGGUCUUGGUUCCGGGCCUGGAAGAGGUCGAGGUGCUCUUAGGAGCAGACGAGCCCAGAGGCAUUUUAUUAAUCCACUUGUCGCAACAGAGAACUCAUACAUUCCACAACUUUACAACGAGAACUUCGAGUUUGAGGAAUGUACAUUUGCUCCAGUUCCAUCCCCAGCUUCUGCUAGGCCAUUCAUUGUAACAGAUGGGAGAAGAAUCAUUAGUAAAUCACGCUAUGAGCCAGUGCCUGUACCCUUUGAUAUUGGGUUCGACAAGGAGGAAUCUCGAAAUGGCUCAAAAGUGACAGAAAGUGUUGUUGGGAUUGCUCCGCUACCUGAGUUGAAUAAAUCCAAAAGGGGAUCCCAAACAGAAAGAUAUAGUAAACCAUCAAAACCACCAGGUUUACUUGAACGAAUGCUCAUGUUCUCCAGUGGGGUUGGCAUUGGUAUUAUAUCUUCCUCUCUAUCAAGCAAAAAAGAUCUUGAUUCAUUGAAGGGCACACUGAAGCGAAUGGAGAACUUGGUUCAGGAUUUGCAAGAUGAGCUGGAGAUGAAAGAGGGGUUAACUGUGAAGGAAUUGCCUAAUGAAACGUCUGGUGAACUAGAUGAUGGCAAUAUCAAAGCUCAAACCCCUGAUUCAAUAUCAAUGAGCAAAAUUGAAGCAGAACUUGAAGCCGAGCUUGCGAGGCUGGAGUUAAAUAUCACUUCAAACCACUUGGAAGAAGAACCGUUUGACUUGAUUGAGAUCGAUCAGGAGUUCAUUGGAGAUAUUGUUCAGGGGGAACUAAAGAGCGACAUGAUUCGUCGUGACAUUGCUGAUUACAGCAGUGAUAGUGACCAUGGCAGGGACAGCAGACAAAGCUCCCCAGAUUACACACAUGAGACAAACUAUCCUGUUUCACCUAGAAAUCUCAGUCUCCGUCUCCACAAGGUGAUCCAGCAUAGGCUGGAAGACCGAAUCAAGGAGCUUGAGACAGCACUUGCUCAGAGCCAGAAGCAGGCGCAACUGCACAUAAGGGCAGGACAGCGAGUCUUCUCCGAACAGACGUGCUCAAACAGUGAUUCAGGUUCUUCUUCCAACCAGGAUAGUCCAUUGUUUAUACAAGAAACUAGCUCCUCCGCCGAACCUUUCUGUCUAAAUCUAGCUGGAGACGCACUAGAAGCCUACGAUGAAGCCUAUGAAGAAUUCAUGAGAAUUGCUGACUCCCCUUGCACCACAAGUACAAACGGGAGGCCUCAGGUAAAUGAAGAUUACCCAGUGGACCGCAGCUUGGUCUGGGGCUUGGAAGAUGAGAGCGCUACAGAGCUGAAAGAGGACAGCACUUGGGAGCAGGCUGUGAAGAGCGGGGACCCUAACAGAGCUCAAGAGAGCGAUGGAGACGAGUCGGGCGACGAGGAUGACCACGAUAGUGAGAUGCUCAUCCAACAGAUUGUAGAGAGAACUAAGCAAGGCUCACCUGUACUCAUACAUGCUCACAGAAUGUUGUUUUCUGUGGAUGAUUAG
RNAcentral lists this ribosomal RNA (1887 nucleotides) under Triticum aestivum (bread wheat). Its description in RNAcentral is "partial small subunit ribosomal RNA". Lineage: Eukaryota; Viridiplantae; Streptophyta; Magnoliopsida; Poales; Poaceae. The record is from RNAcentral.